AGCGAACGCUGGCGGCAGGCCUAACACAUGCAAGUCGAACGAACCUUUCGGGGUUAGUGGCGGACGGGUGAGUAACACGUGGGAACGUGCCUUUAGGUUCGGAAUAACUCAGGGAAACUUGUGCUAAUACCGAAUGUGCCCUUCGGGGGAAAGAUUUAUCGCCUUUAGAGCGGCCCGCGUCUGAUUAGCUAGUUGGUUGAGGUAAUGGCUCACCAAGGCGACGAUCAGUAGCUGGUCUGAGAGGAUGAUCAGCCACAUUGGGACUGAGACACGGCCCAAACUCCUACGGGAGGCAGCAGUGGGGAAUCUUGCGCAAUGGGCGAAAGCCUGACGCAGCCAUGCCGCGUGAAUGAUCAAGGUCUUAGGAUUGUAAAAUUCUUUCACCGGGGACGAUAAUGACGGUACCCGGAGAAGAAGCCCCGGCUAACUUCGUG
This 434-nucleotide ribosomal RNA is filed under the name uncultured bacterium. Its description in RNAcentral is "partial 16S ribosomal RNA". It matches the Rfam family "Bacterial small subunit ribosomal RNA", at positions 29 to 507 of the family's 1533-position model. The record is from RNAcentral.